GCUACCAUGCAGUCGAGCGGAACGAGUUUCAGAACCUUCGGGGGACGAUAACGGCGUCGAGCGGCGGACGGGUGAGUAAUGCCUAGGAAAUUGCCCUGAUGUGGGGGAUAACCAUUGGAAACGAUGGCUAAUACCGCAUGAUGCCUACGGGCCAAAGAGGGGGACCUUCGGGCCUCUCGCGUCAGGAUAUGCCUAGGUGGGAUUAGCUAGUUGGUGAGGUAAGGGCUCACCAAGGCAACGAUCCCUAGCUGGUCUGAGAGGAUGAUCAGCCACACUGGAACUGAGACACGGUCCAGACUCCUACGGGAGGCAGCAGUGGGGAAUAUUGCACAAUGGGCGCAAGCCUGAUGCAGCCAUGCCGCGUGUGUGAAGAAGGCCUUCGGGUUGUAAAGCACUUUCAGUCGUGAGGAAGGCGGUGUAGUUAAUAGCUGCAUCGUUUGACGUUAGCGACAGAAGAAGCACCGGCUAACUCCGUGCCAGCAGCCGCGGUAAUACGGAGGGUGCGGAGCGUUAAUCGGAAUUACUGGGGCGUAAAGCGCAUGCAGUGGUUUUGUUAAGUCAGAUGUGAAAGCCGGGGCUCAACCCUCGGGAAUUGCAUUUGAAACUGGGCAGACUAAAAGUACUGGUAGAAGGGGGGGGUAAGAAUUUCAGGUGUAACCGGUGAAAAUGGCGUUAAAGAUCUUGAAAGAAUUACCCGGUGGCCAAGGGCGG
RNAcentral lists this ribosomal RNA (711 nucleotides) under uncultured bacterium. RNAcentral describes it as "bacterial SSU rRNA". It matches the Rfam family "Bacterial small subunit ribosomal RNA", at positions 48 to 724 of the family's 1533-position model. The record is from RNAcentral.